This 1439-nucleotide ribosomal RNA is filed under the name uncultured bacterium. RNAcentral's name for it is "bacterial SSU rRNA". It matches the Rfam family "Bacterial small subunit ribosomal RNA". The record is from RNAcentral.
AGAGUUUGAUCAUGGCUCAGAACGUACGCUGGCGGCACGCCUAACACAUGCAAGUCGAACGAAGUAGCAAUACUUAGUGGCAGACGGGUGAGUAACAUGUGGGUAUCUGCCCUUUGGCCUGGAAUAACACGAGGAAACUUGUGCUAAUACCGGAUAAGUCUUUACAGAGAAAGCUUUAUGCACCAUUGGAUGAGCCCGCACUUGAUUAGUUUGUUGGUGGGGUAAUGGCCUACCAAGACUGUGAUCAAUAGCUGAUUUGAGAGGAUGAUCAGCCACAUUGGGACUGAGACACGGCCCAAACUCCUACGGGAGGCAGCAGUGGGGAAUCUUGCACAAUGGAGGAAACUCUGAUGCAGCGAUGCCGCGUGAGUGAAGAAGGCCCUUGGGUUGUAAAGCUCUUUCGUCGGGGAAGAAAAUGACUGUACCCGAAUAAGAAGGUCCGGCUAACUUCGUGCCAGCAGCCGCGGUAAUACGAAGGGACCUAGCGUAGUUCGGAAUUACUGGGCUUAAAGAGUUCGUAGGUGGUUGAAAAAGUUAGUGGUGAAAUCCCAGAGCUUAACUCUGGAACUGCCAUUAAAACUUUUCAGCUAGAGUAUGAUAGAGGAAAGCAGAAUUUCUAGUGUAGAGGUGAAAUUCGUAGAUAUUAGAAAGAAUACCAAUUGCGAAGGCAGCUUUCUGGAUCAUUACUGACACUGAGGAACGAAAGCAUGGGUAGCGAAGAGGAUUAGAUACCCUCGUAGUCCAUGCCGUAAACGAUGUGUGUUAGACGUUGGAAAUUUAUUUUCAGUGUCGCAGCGAAAGCGAUAAACACACCGCCUGGGGAGUACGACCGCAAGGUUAAAACUCAAAUGAAUUGACGGGGACCCGCACAAGUAGUGGAGCAUGUGGUUUAAUUCGAAGAUACGCGCAGAACCUUACCAACACUUGACAUGUUCGUCGCGACUCUAAGAGAUUAGAGUUUUCGGUUCGGCCGGACGAAACACAGGUGCUGCAUGGCUGUCGUCAGCUCGUGUCGUGAGAUGUUGGGUUAAGUCCCGCAACGAGCGCAACCCUCACUUUUAGUUGCCAUCAUUAAGUUGGGCACUCUGAAAGAACUGCCAGUGAUAAGCUGGAGGAAGGUGGGGAUGACGUCAAGUCCUCAUGGCCCUUACGUGUUGGGCUACACACGUGCUACAAUGGUAUCUACAACAGGAAGCAAGACUGCGAGGUCAAGCAAAUCCUUAAAAGAUACCUCAGUUCGGAUUGCACUCUGCAACUCGAGUGCAUGAAGCUGGAAUUACUAGUAAUCGUGGAUCAGCGUGCCACGGUGAAUGCGUUCCCGGGUCUUGUACACACCGCCCGUCACACCAUGGGAGUUGGUUCUACCUUAAGGCAAGGUUUCAAACCCUUGACCACGGUAUAGUCAGCGACUGGGGUGAAGUCGUAACAAGGUAACCGUA